GCCGUGAUCGUCUAGUGGUUAAAACAUUGCGUUGUGGCCGCAAUAACCCAGGUUCGCAUCCUGGUCACGGCA
Molecule: transfer RNA, 72 nt
Filed under: Centruroides sculpturatus (bark scorpion)
Lineage: Eukaryota; Metazoa; Arthropoda; Arachnida; Scorpiones; Buthidae
Description: tRNA-His
Rfam family: tRNA
About the family: Transfer RNA (tRNA) molecules are approximately 80 nucleotides in length.
Source: RNAcentral